Molecule: ribosomal RNA, 1500 nt
Filed under: uncultured bacterium
Lineage: Bacteria
Description: 16S ribosomal RNA
Rfam family: Bacterial small subunit ribosomal RNA
Source: RNAcentral
AGUUCGAUUCUGGCUCAGGAUGAACGCUGGCGGCAUGCCUAAUACAUGCAAGUCGAACGGAGUGAAGCCUUCGGGUUUCAUUCAGUGGCGAACGGGUGAGUAAUACGCAGGGAACCUGGCCAUGGCAGGGGGAUACACUCUGGAAACGGAGCAUAAGACCCCAUAGGCAGUAAGGCGGCAUCGCCUUACUGUUAAAGAAAGCUGAAAGGCUUUGGCGAUGGAUGGACCUGCGGUGCAUUAGCUUGUUGGUGAGGCAACGGCUUACCAAGGCGAUGAUGCAUAGCCGGCCUGAGAGGGCGGACGGCCACACUGGGACUGAGACACGGCCCAGACUCCUGCGGGAGGCAGCAGUAGGGAAUUUUCGUCAAUGGGCGCAAGCCUGAACGAGCAAUGCCGCGUGAGUGAGGAAGGUCUUCGGACUGUAAAGCUCUGUUGCCGGGGAAAAAGGGGAAAUGCAGGAAAUGGCAUUUCAUGGAUGGUACCCGGCCAGAAAGCCACGGCUAACUACGUGCCAGCAGCCGCGGUAAUACGUAGGUGGCGAGCGUUAUCCGGAAUGAUUGGGCGUAAAGGGUGCGCAGGCGGUCUGUUAAGUCUGAAGGCAAAGGGAUGAGCUCAACUCAUUUAUGAUUCAGAAACUGGCAGACUUGAGGACAGGAGAGGGCGGUGGAACUCCAUGUGUAGCGGUAAAAUGCGCAGAGAUAUGGAAGAACACCAGUGGCGAAGGCGGCCGCCUGGCCUGUGACUGACGCUGAGGCACGAAAGCGUGGGGAGCAAAUAGGAUUAGAUACCCUAGUAGUCCACGCCGUAAACGAUGAGGAGCAGGUGUUGGGAGUGAAAUCUCAGUGCCGAAGCCAACGCAGUGACUCCUCCGCCUGGGGAGUAUGCACGCAAGUGUGAAACUCAAAGGAAUUGACGGGGGCCCGCACAAGCGGUGGAGUAUGUGGUUUAAUUCGAAGCAACGCGAAGAACCUUACCAGGUUUUGACAUCGGAUGCGAAGGCGCAGAGAUGCGCUGGAGGCUAUCAUCCAGACAGGUGGUGCAUGGUUGUCGUCAGCUCGUGUCGUGAGAUGUUCAGUUAAGUCUGGCAACGAGCGCAACCCCCGUGGUAUGUUACUAACGCUUUAGGGCGAGGACUCAUAUCAGACUGCCGGUGACAAACCGGAGGAAGGCGGGGGAAGAACGUCAAAUCAUCAUGCCCCUUAUGACCUGGGCUACACACGUACUACAAUGGCGUCUACAGAGGGAAGCGACCCUGAGAAGGGAAGCGAAACCGGAAAAGGGCGUCCCAGUUCGGAUUGAAGUCUGCAACCCGACUUCAUGAAGAUGGAAUCGCUAGUAAUCGCGGAUCAGCAUGCCGCGGUGAAUACGUUCCCGGGCCUUGUACACACCGCCCGUCAAACCAUGGAAGCCGGCAACGCCCGAAGCCGGUGGCAUAACCUUUUAGGAGUGAGCCGUCGAAGGCGGGGCCGAUGACUGGGGUUAAGUCGUAACAAGGUAACC